UUUCCGUAGGUGAACCUGCGGAAGGAUCAUUACAGAGUUGAUGCCCGAAAGGGUAGACGUCCCACCCUUGUGUAUUAUUACUUUGUUGCUUUAACGAGCUGCCUUUAGGCCUCUGGGUUUCAAGCUUGAGCACCCUCGCCAGAGGAUACCAAAACUCUUUUAAUUAAUGUUGUCUGAGUACUAUAUAAUAGUUAAAACUUUCAACAACGGAUCUCUUGGAUCUG
RNAcentral lists this unclassified non-coding RNA (224 nucleotides) under plant metagenome. RNAcentral describes it as "partial contains small subunit ribosomal RNA, internal transcribed spacer 1, and 5.8S ribosomal RNA". The record is from RNAcentral.